RNAcentral lists this transfer RNA (76 nucleotides) under Acidobacteriota bacterium. RNAcentral's name for it is "Acidobacteria bacterium (activated sludge metagenome) tRNA-Thr". It matches the Rfam family "tRNA". Rfam says of the family: Transfer RNA (tRNA) molecules are approximately 80 nucleotides in length. Their secondary structure includes four short double-helical elements and three loops (D, anti-codon, and T loops). Lineage: Bacteria; Pseudomonadati; Acidobacteriota. The record is from RNAcentral.
GCCGAUGUAGCUCAGUUGGUAGAGCAGUUGAUUUGUAAUCAUCAGGUCGUAGGUUCAAGUCCUAUCAUCGGCUCCA